CAGUUUUAUUUAUCCUAUUGCAUAUUGGUAUCUUAUCUACCCAAUCAUUAUACAUAUCCUGUGCAUAAUAUACCUAAACAGAUAUGUGAAGAAAACAUGGGAAGAUGAUGUAAACAAUAUUCAAUCAUGAUUAAGAAUUAAAUAACAUAAUCCAUA
Drosophila takahashii is the source of this 156-nucleotide non-coding RNA. NCBI's taxonomy places the organism in Eukaryota, Metazoa, Arthropoda, Insecta, Diptera, Drosophilidae. The record is from RefSeq and is a predicted model, not a curated record.